This 1085-nucleotide long non-coding RNA is filed under the name Homo sapiens (human). Its description in RNAcentral is "HSALNT0180740". Lineage: Eukaryota; Metazoa; Chordata; Mammalia; Primates; Hominidae. The record is from RNAcentral.
AAAAUUGACAAUUUUAAUGACCACCAAUAGUCAGGGUCCAUGGUUACAGAGGUGUAAUCCCAGCUACUUGGGAAGCUGAGGCAGGAGGAUUGCUCAAGGCCAGGAGUUCAAGAGCAGCCUAAGCAACAUAGUAAGAACUCCCAUCUCUAAAAAUAAAAAAUAAAGAGCACCAACUAUAAACAAGACAUUGUGCUAAGAGCUUAGGGUUUACAAAUACAGUUAGGAUAUGAUCCCAUCUUUCAAGGAUGGAAUUAAUGGACUGGAGGAAGAGAUAUACAUAAAUCACUCUAACACAAGAUAGAUGGUGGCAUCAUAACAAAUAUACAGAGUUUAAAAGAUAUAUUUGAGCACUUUCUGUGGGCCAGCACGGUUCUGUGCAUUAUGGAUAAUGAGGUAAACAAAACAAGGGAUAGUCCUUGCCCUCACAGGGCUCUCAGUCUAGUGGGAAAAACAGAUAUUAAAUAAAUGACAGCUAUUUAUCCUUCAUUUAUCAGCUUAGGAAGGUCUUUCCUGAACUUUCUUCCCAGCCUCCUCUCUAGUUUAAAUGAGGUCUCCCCCAACCCCUUGCUUUAUCUUCUUUCAUAGGUCCAUGUACAUUUGUUUGAAGACCCUUGUCUUCAUUUUAAGUUAUAAGUUUAUUUCAGUAGUAGCUAGGUGAAAAGCACGUUAAGGAAGUUCCAAGUAGAACCUCUUCCAGCAGCACGUUUGAUGCACUUGAGGUGGAAAAUAAUUCAGACCUGUUGAGGAAUUAAAAACUCAGUGUAGAUGAAGCAGAAGAAGGAGGCAGAGAGAUUCAAGACCUAUCUGGAAAAAGAGGCAUGGGCCAGAUCAUGCAGAAUUUCCUAUGCCAAGAUUAAAAACAUUUUAUUUUAUUCACAUUGGCCUGGGAAGCCAUUGGUGGUUUUAAGCAUGUCAAAGUCUGUGAUGAAUGAGAGUGAAGUGAUGUUGCAGGUUCUUCCUUAGCAGUUGUUCCAUUUCCCCUGAAAUAAAGGGGAGAGUGGCCCUUCCCCAGUCUGUUAUUGGUUCAUGACCCCAGUUGGCACGUGACCCAAAUUGGUCAAAUCAGAGGGAUGCCUAGGAAUUUA